AUUGAACGCUGGCGGCAGGCUUAACACAUGCAAGUCGAACGAGUGGCGGACGGGUGAGUAAUGCUUGGGAAUCUAGCUUAUGGAGGGGGAUAACUACGGGAAACUGUAGCUAAUACCUCGUACCAUAGGAUGAGCCCAAGUGGGAUUAGGUAGUGGGUGAGGUAAAGGCUCACCAAGUCGACGAUCUCUAGCUGGUCUGAGUCGGUGACCGUACAACGUGGAAAUUACAAAUGGUCUAGACGCCGACGGCAGGCAGAAGAGGGGAAAAUUGGACAAUGGGCGACAGCCCGCUGCAGCCACGCAGCGUGUGUGCAGACGGCCUUAGGGAUGUAAAGCGCUUUAAGCUAGGAGGCGUUAUUCGCAGAAGAAGCACCGGCUAACUCCGUGACAGUGGCCGCGGUAAUAC
This 406-nucleotide ribosomal RNA is filed under the name uncultured bacterium. RNAcentral's name for it is "partial 16S ribosomal RNA". It matches the Rfam family "Bacterial small subunit ribosomal RNA", at positions 30 to 526 of the family's 1533-position model. The record is from RNAcentral.